This 203-nucleotide long non-coding RNA is filed under the name Elaeis guineensis (African oil palm). RNAcentral describes it as "long non-coding RNA (EGUI_LNC066541)". Lineage: Eukaryota; Viridiplantae; Streptophyta; Magnoliopsida; Arecales; Arecaceae. The record is from RNAcentral.
CAUGGCCUUCUUUGGCCGAAACAGGGACCUAGAGGUCCCCAUACCUUAGACCAGCCAUUCACGACCGUACCUUAUCCGACGAUGGCCGACGGCAAAGGACGACUCUCCCGAGUUCGGAGAGGCUAGAGCUGGCGGUCGGCGUGACCGUCGGCGCCUUAAAAACCAAGAAAAGGAAGAGGCCGAACAGGGCUUCCCUUUUCCGA